CAGCACCCACAGAUGAGCUGCUGUCGGAGGCUCUGGCCAUAGUCCUGCUACUAGCCUGGAUAAAGUUUAAGCUGCCCGAAACAGAAAGUAAAACAGAAAACAACAAAUAGUUAAGUCCAUCCCCACCUGACCACAACAGCUCCAAGAGGAAAUGUUUUUUGACCAGACAAGUCUACAUAACCUUUUUGCCAAGCUCUUUGGACUGGGAGGAUCUGUCUUUCUCUGAAAGUCUGACUGAGUUUUUGUGUGAGGAACACAAAAGAUGUGGACAUUGUUUGUGAAACAAAGCCACAUAUAAAUGAGCAUAAUCCGGAAGAAACAGCAAAAAAAACCUGGAAAUUAGAUCACAAGUGAAACUGUGGCUGCAACUGUCAUUUUCUCUACCCCUGACAACUCUCCACUUGAUCGGCUGUAACUUAAGUUCGUUAGUGACUGGGUACUGCUGCAUCCAAGGACCAAAUUAAAAUAUCAAAUUCUU
Molecule: long non-coding RNA, 478 nt
Organism: Acanthopagrus latus (yellowfin seabream)
Lineage: Eukaryota; Metazoa; Chordata; Actinopteri; Spariformes; Sparidae
Exons: 2
Source: RefSeq, a predicted model, not a curated record